This is a long non-coding RNA of Daphnia pulex (common water flea), 910 nucleotides long. RefSeq lists it as uncharacterized. The record is from RefSeq and is a predicted model, not a curated record. The transcript is spliced from 2 exons. NCBI's taxonomy places the organism in Eukaryota, Metazoa, Arthropoda, Branchiopoda, Diplostraca, Daphniidae.
GGCGAAGGACCGAGAAACAGGUGGUGCGGUUUUUUCUGCACUCGCCGUGUGGUUAACCGUGUAAGAUAGCAUCCAGUGCAGUGAACACUUUAAUCAACGUUCACACAAAAAAAGAAAUAGAAAAAGGAUUAUAAUUCUAGGUGGGGCUGAACAAACACCUACACGAAAAUGCAUGGCUGUGAGGUCAAAUCUUUGUCAUAGUCUUUACACACGCACAGCACAGACAGUAGAUAAGUUUAGAACAAGCAUUAUCUCUCCUUUUCUUUUUUUCUUUUUCCUUUUUUUUUCUUUUUUCUUUUUGGAUUUUAUUUUAUAAAAAUGAGUCGCCUACAUUUUUGUGCCUCAAAAUCUACGGGAUAAUAUUUAUUUUUUGUUUGUUGAAAUUUUGUUUACCUUUUCUUCCAUGGUCAAUGAGGAUUCCGGGAAGUCGGAAGCUGUUCCAGGUACUAGCUUCCAUUGGAGGCGGUAUUUGUCACUUUCAGCGCGUUCGUUGACGACCGGAACAACGUCGGGUCCAGCACCAUCAGGAAUGUCAAUGAUUCCAUCGUAACGAAAUCUUUACGUAUUAAAUAUUUUUUUAAAUUUUCAGAUUUAAGAAAAAAGGUCUAUCUGUUUUAAAGUUGGCGUUAAAGGAUGAGACGGUACCUGUGGAUUAGUGUGCUGGCCAUCUUUCCAAUCGGCCAUAGAGCGGUGUCGGGAUGAGCUUCGACUUUUCGGAUGAGGGCUACCAAGUUCUCUAUGGAUGCGGGCAUCCGGCGGAAUUGGUCGCUGAUGGUUUUGUUUACGUAACAUAACGCCAAGUUGUCGGGAAUGCGGUUUGGCCAUGGAUCGGCUGCCCAAGCCGUUGCCGCAAAUAUCGCUAUUCGUGAUUGGUAGUAAGUAAAAAGAAAAGAGAAAGAAAGAUUUUUUU